Molecule: ribosomal RNA, 253 nt
Filed under: uncultured bacterium
Lineage: Bacteria
Description: partial 16S ribosomal RNA
Rfam family: Bacterial small subunit ribosomal RNA
Source: RNAcentral
UACGUAGGGUGCGAGCGUUAAUCGGAAUUACUGGGCGUAAAGCGUGCGCAGGCGGUUGUGCAAGACAGAUGUGAAAUCCCCGGGCUUAACCUGGGAACUGCAUUUGUGACUGCACAGCUAGAGUACGGCAGAGGGGGAUGGAAUUCCGCGUGUAGCAGUGAAAUGCGUGGAUAUGCGGAGGAACACCGAUGGCGAAGGCAGUCCCCUGGGCCUGUACUGACGCUCAUGCACGAAAGCGUGGGGAGCAAACAGG